UACGUAGGGUGCGAGCGUUAAUCGGAAUUACUGGGCGUAAAGCAUGCGCAGGCGGCUUUGCAAGACAGAUGUGAAAUCCCCGGGCUCAACCUGGGAACUGCAUUUGUGACUGCAAGGCUAGAGUACGGCAGAGGGGGAUGGAAUUCCGCGUGUAGUAGUGAAAUGCGUAGAUAUGCGGAGGAACACCAAUGGCGAAGGCAAUCCCCUGGGCCUGUACUGACGCUCAUGCACGAAAGCGUGGGGAGCAAACAGG
RNAcentral lists this ribosomal RNA (253 nucleotides) under uncultured bacterium. RNAcentral describes it as "partial 16S ribosomal RNA". It matches the Rfam family "Bacterial small subunit ribosomal RNA", at positions 524 to 776 of the family's 1533-position model. The record is from RNAcentral.